Molecule: ribosomal RNA, 435 nt
Filed under: uncultured bacterium
Lineage: Bacteria
Description: partial 16S ribosomal RNA
Rfam family: Bacterial small subunit ribosomal RNA
Source: RNAcentral
AGCGAACGCUGGCGGCAGGCUUAACACAUGCAAGUCGAGCGGGCAUCUUCGGAUGUCAGCGGCAGACGGGUGAGUAACACGUGGGAACGUGCCCUUCGGUUCGGAACAACUCUGGGAAACUGGAGCUAAUACCGGAUACGCCCUUAUGGGGAAAGGUUUACUGCCGAAGGAUCGGCCCGCGUCUGAUUAGCUAGUUGGUGGGGUAACGGCCUACCAAGGCGACGAUCAGUAGCUGGUCUGAGAGGAUGAUCAGCCACACUGGGACUGAGACACGGCCCAGACUCCUACGGGAGGCAGCAGUGGGGAAUAUUGGACAAUGGGCGCAAGCCUGAUCCAGCCAUGCCGCGUGAGUGAUGAAGGCCUUAGGGUUGUAAAGCUCUUUUGUCCGGGACGAUAAUGACGGUACCGGAAGAAUAAGCCCCGGCUAACUUCGUG